Molecule: ribosomal RNA, 426 nt
Filed under: uncultured bacterium
Lineage: Bacteria
Description: bacterial SSU rRNA
Rfam family: Bacterial small subunit ribosomal RNA
Source: RNAcentral
AGGGAAUCUUCCGCAAUGGACGAAAGUCUGACGGAGCAACGCCGCGUGAGUGAUGAAGGUUUUCGGAUCGUAAAACUCUGUUGUUAGGGAAGAACAAGUACCGUUCGAAUAGGGCGGUACCUUGACGGUACCUAACCAGAAAGCCACGGCUAACUACGUGCCAGCAGCCGCGGUAAUACGUAGGUGGCAAGCGUUGUCCGGAAUUAUUGGGCGUAAAGCGCGCGCAGGCGGUUUCUUAAGUCUGAGGUGAAAGCCCCCGGCUCAACCGGGGAGGGUCAUCGGAAACUGGGGAACUUGAGUGCAGAAGAGGAGAGUGGAAUUCCACGUGUAGCGGUGAAAUGCGUAGAGAUGUGGAGGAACACCAGUGGCGAAGGCGACUCUCUGGUCUGUAACUGACGCUGAGGCGCGAAAGCGUGGGGAGCAAAC